UACAGAGGGUGCAAACGUUGCUCGGAAUCAUUGGGCGUAAAGCGCACGUAGGCGGCCUAGCAAGUAGGGAGUGAAAGCCCUCGGCUUAACCGAGGAAGUGCUUUCUAAACUACUAGGCUUGAAUACUGGAGAGGGUCGCGGAAUUCCCGGUGUAGAGGUGAAAUUCGUAGAUAUCGGGAGGAACACCAGUGGCGAAGGCGGCGACCUGGGCCAAUACUGACGCUGAGGUGCGAAAGCGUGGGGAGCAAACAGG
RNAcentral lists this ribosomal RNA (253 nucleotides) under uncultured bacterium. Its description in RNAcentral is "partial 16S ribosomal RNA". It matches the Rfam family "Bacterial small subunit ribosomal RNA", at positions 524 to 776 of the family's 1533-position model. The record is from RNAcentral.